This 132-nucleotide unclassified non-coding RNA is filed under the name soil metagenome. RNAcentral describes it as "partial internal transcribed spacer 1". The record is from RNAcentral.
CCGAGUUUACACUCAUAACCCUUUGUGAACAUUAUAACUUGUUGCUUCGGCGGCUUCUUCGGGAGGCCCGCCGGCGUUUCAGUAUCUCUGUUGUACCCGACGAUACAUCUGAGUGUUCUUAGCGAACUAUAA